This 305-nucleotide ribosomal RNA is filed under the name uncultured bacterium. Its description in RNAcentral is "bacterial SSU rRNA". It matches the Rfam family "Bacterial small subunit ribosomal RNA", at positions 337 to 640 of the family's 1533-position model. The record is from RNAcentral.
GCCUACGGGGGGCAGCAGUGAGGAAUAUUGGUCAAUGGACGCAAGUCUGAACCAGCCAUGCCGCGUGCAGGAAGACGGCUCUAUGAGUUGUAAACUGCUUUUGUACGAGGGUAAACGCAGAUACGUGUAUCUGUCUGAAAGUAUCGUACGAAUAAGGAUCGGCUAACUCCGUGCCAGCAGCCGCGGUAAUACGGAGGAUUCAAGCGUUAUCCGGAUUUAUUGGGUUUAAAGGGUGCGUAGGCGGACAGUCAAGUCAGCGGUAAAAAUGCGGUGCUCAACGCCGUACAGCCGUUGAAACUGGCAGU